Molecule: transfer RNA, 72 nt
Filed under: Marmota monax (woodchuck)
Lineage: Eukaryota; Metazoa; Chordata; Mammalia; Rodentia; Sciuridae
Rfam family: tRNA
About the family: Transfer RNA (tRNA) molecules are approximately 80 nucleotides in length. Their secondary structure includes four short double-helical elements and three loops (D, anti-codon, and T loops).
Source: Rfam by way of RNAcentral
UGUGUUGUGGCUCAGCGAUAGAGCACUCACAUAACAUGCGUGAGGUACUGGGCUCGAUUCUCAGCACCACAU